This is a long non-coding RNA of Brassica napus (rape), 7406 nucleotides long. RefSeq lists it as uncharacterized. Lineage: Eukaryota; Viridiplantae; Streptophyta; Magnoliopsida; Brassicales; Brassicaceae. The record is from RefSeq and is a predicted model, not a curated record. The transcript has 5 exons.
ACAAAAAAACAAAGUUUUCAAAUAUUAAGAGGGAACAUUAUUUGUAAUCUGAAAGCUUAAUCUUUGCUUUAGUUAUAUAUACAAGGGUGGUCCUGAGCACAGCGAAUUAAAACAUCGGUUUAGGACCUCAAUUUUUCUAUAUAUUUAUAAAUUACAUAAAAUAAUAAACAAAAGUGUUUAAUUGAUUUGAUAUAAUGAUUUUAUAUUCGUAUAGAAAGAAUUAUAUUUGUAUAUAAAGUAUCAUAAUAGCUAUUAAUGUCUAAUAAUUUAAUGCAUGUUUUAUAAAUCAUUUAUAAAAUUAUAAAUACAUUUAUAAAAAUCAAACGUUUUAAAUUAUUAUAAGAGGUUCUAAGUCAUUUAUAGAAGCUUAUACAUUAAUUUAUAAAAUGUAUUUUGAAAAUUUAUCCUCCUAUUACAAUAUUUUGAAUUUUUUUCAUUUUAGUAUAGAAACCCCUAAACUAAAGAUUUACUGGUAGUAAUAGUAAUUAUGACCUAUCAGAGUUUAAUUCAUUAAAUAAAGUUAGUUUAGGGGUUUUUUCGUUAAAUACUUAGUUUGAUGAUUUUUACCCAAAAAAGACUUAGUUUGAGGGUUUUAACGUUAAAAUUCCUUAUUAUUUCCUUAUUAUCUAUUAUUUAAAUCCUUAUAGUGGGAUUUGUUUUAUCAAAAACCAGUUGCAGUCAACUGACGAGAUAUCUUCUUUCCUAAUAUCAUGCAUUAAAUAUUUAAAUAUAUAUAGCAAAAUUUGAGUUACCAAAAUUAUGUAUAUAUUAUAACUAGAAUAUUUUUAAAAAAUUAUUAGAAGAUAUUCUAUCUCAUAGCUGAAUUAAAAUUUAUUAGAGGAUAUUUUAUCUCAUAGCUUCUCUUAAAAACUAGGUCAUUUAGAAACUUAAACUAAUUUGCUAAAUAAAUAUCACGCCACCCUAUUAGUUUCACGCAUCUAUUUUUUAAGUUUUCAUAUGUUUUUGAUCGUUAUAAUUUAAAUUCUAUUUUUGUGAUCUUGCGCAGGUGUAUAAUAAUCAAUAAGUAACUUAUAGACAUGAACACCAUUAUUGUUAAUUUUAUGGGAGAUUCUUCUUCUCCGUUUAUUUUUGUUCUCUUCAUCUCCAUGUUGUAUCUCUAUCCAUAUUUUUGCAUCAUUAGUGAUUCAACUAACAAAAAGAGACGAUUCUGUUUAUCUAAGAACUGAUCAUCCCUUUCGAAAAAGGUAAUUCUUUUUUUUAUAAAGUUAAAUUACUUAUCAAGAAUAUAAUAUAAGAUAUGUAUGCUAAUCAAGUGCAAUUUAUUUAUUGUGUGUGAUCUUCUUCGGUACGUCUGAGAGUCAAAGGUAAUCUCAAAGCUUUUUAAAAACUUUAAAACUCAUUGACGUUGUCCUAUCAAUUAUAUAAUUUGUUAUCUUUUGAGGAUUGUUUACAUCUUUAAAUAUUUUUGUUAGAAUUACCUCUUUUUUUACUGAAGGGUUAGAGAAAGAAACCAUAAAUCAUCUAUGUUGUUACAAUGAAACCAAUGAUAAUAAAUCUCAGGUAAUUCAAAUCUCUUUUUUAUAUUUCAUGGCUGAUUUUUUUAUUGGGGUUAUGCGUGAAAUAUUUGUUUUUUCUCAAUUAUAUUUUUCUGAUAUUUUAUGAUUAGUGUUAAGUGUGAUCGUUUUAAAAACGUUCUAAUGUAUUCUUUGUUCAUAUGAACAUAGUAUAAAUAUCAAUAUGUAAUAUCGAAUAUUUCAUAUUAACCAUAUACAUGUAACAUAAGUAUUAUAUAGUUGUAAAUAUAAUAUCAAUUUAAUUAAUAUUAAUAUUAAUGCCCGCACAUACGUGAGGGCGGUCCACCUAGUAGACUAUAAAGUACAAUACUUUGGUCCUUUUUAUUGCAGGAAGAGUUAUAUCUAGAACGCUCUAACCGGGUGGGGGUUUUGUCUUCUUAACCGGUCGGGUCGGGUCCGGAUCCUCUUUAUCCACUUUGUGAAAUUUCUAGAUUAAUCAAAAUCAUUUUUACAUAUUUUCAUUUUUAAAGUUUUAGGAGUAUUCACGUAUUUAAAUAGUAUAAACAUGAGACUAUAUUAGGCCAAAGUAUGAUUUAAUUAACCACAAAUUAUAGUACACUAGAAAAAAAAAGUUUUCAAAUAUCGACAAAAAAACAAAGUUUUCAAAUAUUAAGAGGGAACAUUAUUUGUAAUCUGAAAGCUUAAUCUUUGCUUUAGUUAUAUAUACAAGGGUGGUUCUGAGCACAGCGAAUUAAAACAUCGGUUCAGUACCCCAAAUUUUUUCAAAACAAUUACAAGAAAAAAACUCCUAAAUUUGUAAAAAGAAAUUUUUUUAGAAAAUCCUCACUAAAUUUUUUUAGGUCUCCAACAUCUCAGGGACGCCCCUGGUUAUAUACUCUAUUUUGAACUCUGUUUGAUUUUAAUUAUAUGAAUGUAAGCUGAGACUGAAAAAGCUAAUCUUUGUUAAAUAGAAGAAUGUUCGCCUAAGCUUGUUAAAGAUCAUCAAUACUAUUUCUCUAAUGUGAAGAUCUCAGAAAUGUGCUUAGUGUAUAACAGUAUUAGUAUAAGCCAAAACCAAAAAAAAAAUGUGUACUAUAAUGUAGUUAGUGUACCGACCAGCGAAAAAGGUGCUUAGUGUUAGAAAAUGAUACCUACAAUAAUUCAGCCAUUUUUAGUUUCAGUAAUCCGCAGAAAAUAUCAAUGUAUUUUUUUUUUUAACGACAUACCAAUGUAUUUAGAGAUGAACAUUAUUGAUUAUAAUAAAAAUAAUAAAGGAACCGUUGUUUUUCUUUUUGAAAUUACGUACCAUCUUGCAGUCACGUGUGUUUUGUAGCUGAUUACACUUUCCAAGUUACUUUUUGAUGGGGAAAAUCAAAUCCACUAAAAGUGUUUAACAUGAAUUUUUUAACAAAAAAAAUUAGAUAUAUUUAAGUAAAAUAAUAAAAUAAUAUUAUGAUUAUUUUAAAAUCAGAAAAACCUACAUUAAAAUCUCAUAUGAAACUGACACUAAUAUUUUCCAGAUUAAAUAUUUUAUCGUGAAGUUUUCAUGAUUUAGAAACAUACGCCAUAAUAAUUUAGGGAAAAAUCGCAUUUAAACCCUGAAGUUGACACAUUCUAGCAGUUUAAAUAUUCAACCUUUUUCACUAACACUUUAAUACCUCAAACUAUAACUUUUGUCGAAACAAACUCCAAAGUCGCAUCCCACGUUUUUCUCGUAACCCUAUUUGACGGUAUUGUUCACGACGUUUACUGGGCAAAAUGCAUGUUGUUUUUUGAUUAAAAACGACACUGUUGAGAACAUAAAAUUUGUUUCGAAAUCGAUUUAGGGAUUAGGGUCCUAACAGUAACAAGACCGAGAAAGUUUAUAUAGAUUCUUCACUUCUUCUACCUCGUAUUUGUCUCUUGAUUCUUCAUUUCUUCUACCUUGUUCUUUGUCUCUUAGAAAUAGCUAAAGACUCAUUUUUUUAUAACAGGGAUUCGCAUGAAAUGGAAUUGAAGAUUCAUUUUGGUGGUGAAAUGAAGAAGAUUGGUGAUGGUGAAGAUUAUGAGUAUUUGGGUGAAUUAGGGAGCAAAAAUGUGGAAUGGAAAAUCGAUGACAUAGUGUGGGAUAUGUUCGUUGAUUUUUGCAAAGAAGAAGCCCUCAUUAGAGCACCACUUGGCUUGAUUUGGUAAAAAUCAGAGAAAGAGGAGAUGAAGGAACUGUGGUAUGUAUAUGAUAGAUACGAUGGGGAGAUGUGUGAGCUACGGUCUACAAACAAGUCAGGGAUAGAUGUUGUGGAAGUGUUUGUUGAACAUGAAUGCUCAGAACACAUACCUGGUGUGAUUCAGCUUGCGGACACCAACCGAGAUGAUGCAGAAUGUGUUGAUGAAGAGGAAGAACACAGUGAGAUGUCCAAAAUAGAACAAAUAUAAAAUCGUUGUAGAAUUUAUAUCAACUGGAGAUUUUGCAUAUUCCGUGACAUUUGAUUAAUCGUUGUAGAAUUUAUUUUCUUGUGGACAAAAGCGAACCAUUCUAACUUAUUUUAAGCUUUUUUUAUUUUUGAUUUUUUUUUUGUAUUUGAAAUUGUAUAUAGUUCAGUAGUGUGUAUUUCUACUAAAUAUGAAAAUUAUAUAAAAUAUGCCUUAAUUGUAUUUUUAAAUUCGACCCCUUUUCGUUAUGAAAGUUUUAUGAAAUGUUAAUAUUCUUAAUUUAUUUUAUUAAUUGUUUGAUAUAGAUUUUGAUGAAAUUUUAAUUAUAAAAAUUAUUUCAUGUCAAUUUGUUACUCGUUUUCAAUUUAUUACUCUAAUGUUAUAUAUAUAUAUUAUUUAAUUAAAUAUGAAGCUUAUUUAAUAAAUGUGAAAUUUUGUAUUUAUGAAAGUAUAAAUAAAAUAAUUUAUUAAUUUAAUAUUAAUUGAAAUUAUUUUCUGUAUGUUAAUUAUUGACUUGUUUGGAAACAUAUCUAAUGUUUUUCUAUAAUUAACUUAAAGAAGUUAUAUUGUUUUCAUUAAUUAUUAAUGAUGUUUUAUAUAACAUAAUAUUUCGCUAAAGGUUAGGACCAUUAAAAGUUUCUGUUUUAAUAAACUAGGUUAUAUUAUUUAGCAUAUGACUAAAUGUUAGAUCUAUUAAAAUAUUUAUAUUUUAAUAAGAGAGAUUUAUCAAAUAGUUUGAAAAAAUUAAUGAAAAUUUAUUCAAAAGUGUAAUUCAAUGUUUUAUAUUAUCUAGACUUAAAUUUUGUUAUUGAGUUGUUUAAAAACAUAUAUAGAACUUUAAUGUUGUUUCUAUAAUUAUCUUAGGGGUUAUCUAGUAUUUUCAUAAGUUAUUAUUUAUUAGUGACAUUAAUUUUAUAUAGUAUAACAUACUACUAAAUGCUAGAUCCAUUAGAAAACAAAUUGUUUUUAUAAUAAAGAUGUUUCUGUUUUAAUAUAAAAAAGGUUAUAUAAAAUAGCAUAUGACUAAAUGUUAGAUCCAUUAAUAUGUUUAUGUUUUAAUAAGAGAGAUUUAUCAAAUAAUCUGAAAGAAAAUUAAUAUUAAUUUAUUAAAAAGUGGGAUUCAAUGUUUCAUAUUAUCUAGACUCAAAUUUAGUUAUUGUGUUUUUGGAAACAUAUCUAGUAUUAUAAUUAUCUUAGUGAAAUUUUAGUAUUUUUUAUUAAUUAUUAGUUAUAUUUUGUAUAAUAUAACAUAUGACAAAAUGUUAGAUCCACUUAAGAAAUCAUGUUAUAAUAAUAAAGACUAUGGCUCUAAAUGGUGACCAAAAGAAUGAGUGGAAAUAAAUAAUUCUUCUUCAUUCCUCAAAUUUGAUACUAUUUAUAAGGAAUAUUUUUUUUCCAAAUGUUCCUUCUCAUUCCUUUUAAUUUAAGGAAUCAAAGCAAAAAACUAGUCGUUAUCAAAUCAGGCAAAGAACAAUAAGGACUAAAUAUUUCUAUUAUUUUAUUCUUCUUGAUUCUAUUCCUUUUUGUUUCUAUUAUUUCUUUUGUUGUCAUCAGUUAGAGCCUAUAUAUAACAUAUGACUAAGUGUUAGGUCCAUUAUAAAGAUAAAUUUGCUUCUUCUUCUUCUUUCUGAGAAAAAUCUGUGUAUUCUAAAAACAAUGGAGAUGAAGAAAAUGGUUAUAUUUAUGGUGAUGAUGUUGACAAUCGGAAAUCUUACAGCUGAAUCUGAAGUUUUAGUUGGACGUUGGGGAGAUUGUAUCAAGACGUGUUAUAACAUAUGUAUCACUGGUCCAAUACAUGAUAGAAUCUCAUGUUUGCCUAAAUGUGCUCUGGAAUGUAAUCCGCAUAAAGAGAUCGAUGUGAAAAAGGCAAAAGGCUAUGUGAAUUAAUAUUUGGAUAUGUGUGAUAAAAAAUCGUGAAGGCAAUAUAAAUUCUCUAUAAAUUAUCAUAUGUUUGCUGUACUUGACGAUUUAAUAAAGAUAUGUAUUGUUCCGUUAUUUCAAUUUUAUAAAUCAAUCCAAAUAACAUUUGUUGAUUGAUGAAUUUAUCCAGUGAUCGAGAAAAUGUUAGUCGAUAAGUGUACGGUAACUCAACGUAUGACGUCUAAAAUAAUUAAUCGGAUGUCUAAAUUAUUAGUUAAUACAUCUAGAAGUUUACCAAUUAAAACAAUAUAAUUAAACAACCCGUCUAGAUGCUUGCCAAUUAAAAAAAAAAAUAUAUAUAUAUAUAUAUAAUAUUAAAUGUCAUGAUUAGUAAUAAUAACUAGAUCUUGACCCGCGCGCCAGCGCGGGUUUGAAUUUACGGUUUUUGAUUAUUUAAUUUAACUAAAUAAUGUAUUUGUAAUAUUUAAUAUAUUAUAUUCACUAAGUAAAUUACUUUUUUGUGGGUGUUAAACCAUUGAUUUAUGACGAAUAUUCGAUAUCAUAUAAACAAAUUGAAUAUAUACACGUAAUUAGAGAAUUGUAUACAAUAUAUAAAAAUAAUGGUUAUGAAUGUAAAAUAUGAAGAAAUUAUAUAAUGGCUCCGUAUGGCAUAUAAGAUUGUAAAUUAUUAAUACAUAUUUAAAGAAAAUACAAUGAUUUUUUAAACUUAUAUGAAUAAUUUAACAUAUAAAAACAGUUGAUUUAUGUAAAUAAUUUUAGAUGUUUUAUUAAUAAUAAAUUUUUUUUUUGUUUUGAGAUAAAGAUAAAAAUUAAAUGUCCAUAACCAAUUAUGUUAAAAGGGGCCUUAUUUAAAAAACCCAUGUGCUGUAAAAAAAAAAGAAGCCGAUUUGGUAACCGUUUUUUUUCCGGGAAAGAUAACCAAAAAAAAAUUGUCUUUAUGUUUAUUUUGUUUAAGUUCUGUCGUCAAAAAUUAAAAAAUCUCUUAUCUUCUUCGAUGUUCAAUCUGAGGCUUGUCUUCGAUGUUCAAUCUGAAGACAUUUUUCUGCCGUCAAAAUAGGUAGUGGAAGAUCGAACUUUUGAUUUGGCCGAUCUAUAAUCAUAUAUAAAAGAUAGGAUCAAGGUGAUCAGGGUUCAAAUUAGUUACAUGGAUGUUGACUUGAAGUUUUCGGAUCUCUUUGACAAACUGAUAUGAAGGUAAUUAGACAAUUAAAAGAAUUGAUCUCCUUGUCAGAUUGGAGUGCAAAAAAUAAACGUCAAUAAUACUUAUGAUUCUGCAAAGGUUAUUGAACACUUAUGCAAGGUUAGGUAUAUAUAAUGUAAAUGUGAAGCCCUAAUCAAUGGAAUAUACUUUAAGUGGGGCGGAAGACAUAAUCUUGUGAUUUUAUGGAAGAAUAUAAUUUGUUUCCAAAAUUUCUCCAUAUCGUUCGCAAAUAAUGGGAAACCAGUGAGAUCGUUAUAUCUUUAGAUUUUUUAUAAAUCUAGAAUUGAUUGUUUCUUCCUCUGCAAGAAAAUGAACUGGUUGUAAUCAAAAAGAUAUGAUAUUGAAGAGGAGAUAUUCGAUUAUAGGUUUGUAUUUAAUGUGAUGUCCUCCUACGUUUUCGGUUAAAUGUUGUAAAAUUUCAAAUUCUUAGUUUACUUUUA